CAGCCGCCGCGGGAAUACGAAGGGUGCAAGCGUUACUCGGAAUUACUGGGCGUAAAGCGUGCGUAGGUGGUGGUUUAAGUCCGUUGUGAAAGCCCUGGGCUCAACCUGGGAAUUGCAGUGGAUACUGGGUCACUAGAGUGUGGUAGAGGAUAGUGGAAUCUCCGGUGUAGCAGUGAAAUGCGUAGAGAUCGGAAGGAACAUCUGUGGCGAAGGCGACUAUCUGGGCCAACACUGACACUGAGGCACGAAAGCGUGGGGAGCAAACAGGAUUAGAUACCCGCGUAGUCCCUGUCUCUUAUAC
This 301-nucleotide ribosomal RNA is filed under the name uncultured bacterium. Its description in RNAcentral is "partial 16S ribosomal RNA". It matches the Rfam family "Bacterial small subunit ribosomal RNA", at positions 509 to 807 of the family's 1533-position model. The record is from RNAcentral.